RNAcentral lists this unclassified non-coding RNA (248 nucleotides) under air metagenome. Its description in RNAcentral is "partial contains small subunit ribosomal RNA, internal transcribed spacer 1, and 5.8S ribosomal RNA". The stretch from base 1 to 46 matches the Rfam family "Eukaryotic small subunit ribosomal RNA", at positions 1786 to 1831 of the family's 1831-position model. The record is from RNAcentral.
AAGUCGUAACAAGGUUUCCGUAGGUGAACCUGCGGAAGGAUCAUUAAAGAAAUACGGUGGACUCCCAUGUGGGACGAAGCCUUUUCUCUAUUCCACCCCUUUGUGAACCACCGCGUGAGCUAGUAGGGGGCGCCUCGGCGCCUUUGAAGGCUCGCGACCUUUUAUCAUACACCCUUAGAAAGUCCCAGAAUGUACCUUUGCGUCUAACGCAUGAAAUACAACUUUCAGCAACGGAUCUCUUGGCUCUC